Molecule: long non-coding RNA, 588 nt
Filed under: Bos taurus (domestic cattle)
Lineage: Eukaryota; Metazoa; Chordata; Mammalia; Artiodactyla; Bovidae
Description: long non-coding RNA NONBTAT006291
Source: RNAcentral
UGUUUCUUUAGUUCUAUUAGAGACCCUUUGUUCUUUCUUUGGUAAACAGUGAUCUAAAUUAUCAUAUAUGCUGCUGUAUUCUACAGUGAUUAAUUAGCAUAAGCUAUUCAAACACACCAAGGCAUUUCUAUUUUAAAAUCCAUCCUUGAAGAGAAAAUAACACUAUAAGAUAAUUGCUAGUAACAGUAUUCAUUUUCUAUAUAUCUAUUUAACUUAUUUACAAUGUGAAUUUUAAAAGUGAGUAUUUUGUUUGCACAUUUCUUUUUCCUGUUUGCAUUUUACUCUACAGUCUCCACUCACUUUUUCCAGUUCCUGCUUUAAGCCCUUGCUUACCUUCAUGUGAUCUUCGUCUGACUCUUAGGAGUUAUUUUUCUCUAGCUAAAUUCUUUUAAAAUCUAGCCAUGUUUUAGAUAUAAAUACAAAACAAAGUGAAUUUGAAUCCUUUUUUUUUUUUUGCCAAAAUAAUCCCAUUUUCAAGCUAUGCUCUGGGAUCCUAAGAGUCUUUGAAGAUGCCUUCCUGGGAGUGGGGUUAGAGUAGGUGGGACGCUUGGGCCUUCUGCCAAACCUCAGCUUCACUUUAUCCUGCUA